RNAcentral lists this long non-coding RNA (8959 nucleotides) under Homarus americanus (American lobster). RNAcentral's name for it is "uncharacterized LOC121856228". The record is from RNAcentral. Lineage: Eukaryota; Metazoa; Arthropoda; Malacostraca; Decapoda; Nephropidae.
GAUACAUUAUUCUGUCCACAAAUGCUUCGGGGUUCGCGACAGGACUUUUUUGGGUGAGUGUACCACCCAAUCUGUACCUACUGUUAUAACAAUACCCAUGAAAAUCCCUUUAACAGGUAAGGAAUCCUCCACUCCCCACAGUCACCGGUUGGAACAUCAGAUCUGUCGUAUGUCAGAGCCGAACAGUAACGGUACCAAGAAUACCCGACAAAACCUUUUUUUUUACCACAACAAGCCUACAUCUCAAGAUACUCUGCCGUUUGAGUGGUCAGUCACGUUUUUGUAAUGUUCCGUUGGCAAUCACUGGGCUGUACAGUUUCCACAAUGUACGAGAGAAUGUGCACCACCGUUGAUGAAAUGCGGUCUUUAAUUCACACUCAUAACACUGGCAGUUUUUCCAGUUCACAAAUACCCCAAGAGUUUCCAGAUUGCCCCCGAGGGGGGGUUAGUUUAUUGGGCACCCCCUUACAUCCCGUGCAAGGUGAAGAAGCGUUUACAGUGCCUAUCCGGGAAGCGUGCGGAGUUCGCGCUCGGCUUUUACGACUCGUGCAUUGAGGGCGUAAAAGUCUGAAGGGUCAUGGGUUUUGUCAGCAAGUGACAGAAAGAGGAGCUCGUGGGGAAUUCCCGGUAAGAUUUAUGUUUAUGGCAAAGCGUGGCAGGUCCCUAAUGUGUUAAGUGCCAGGCAUUGACAAUAUUAAGGGACAUAUCUUGUAGUGCGAUGGCGCGGACGUUGUUCUCGGCGUAGAUACGUAGUCCAUUAGCACGUCCACACGGUGGUCAAUCGAUGCGGAGAACCGGAUUGGACGGGCCCCGGCAGGUGGACAGGGGCAGGCUAGGUAGCCAGCAGUGAUGCCAGGCGGCGGUGGAGUAGGCCGCGAGCAAGAGGGGGAGGGGGGGGUGACUGGUUAGCAGCUGGAGUCAUGGGUAGGUCAAAGUGUUUCAAUACUCUUGGUAAAUUCGAUCUGAUGUUUGGGCAUCAAAAUGAUCUAAUUUCAGUAGUACUUGGAAACUUGUAGCUAUCCCCAAGGACAAGCCACUCGUACUGACAGACUCGACUGGUUUUACUAACAACAAAGACAGUUGAAGCUUUGAACGUCACUUAAUGGAUCUUCUAACUAUAAUGAGACAUAUCUAAGUUGCCUUAACACAUACCACCACAGCUGCAAUUUCCAAUUGUGUGUCGUUAUACGAAGGAAUAACAAAGUCUGUGGGUGCACUGUGACGACGGAGAGAAAACGGAGGACUCGGACAUCCCGAAGCGACGAGAAAUGAAACGCGUCAGACGGGCGACUCCAUAAAGAAAGCACAGCUACACGUUAACCCACAAACCAGCCUCCGCUUUCAUUCUCCUUCUGUAGUUCCCACUAUACCUUGCCCUAAAUAUCCCUGUUCACCUCAGAGCCACGGCUGUUUUAUGUCGGUGUUCCGACCGACCGUUUUGAGCGUAAUAAGAAUCGUCCGAUUUUACGUUAAGUAACAUGCACGACCGUGGUCAUUACAUGUUGAACCCAGUGUUUUUUUAAUGCCAAUUUUUCCUCAAUUUCAAAGUCUUUCCAAUGUUAAACAAGUAAAAGGUAAUUUUAUAGAAUAAAAUACACGUUGUGGCGGAAAUGCAAUAGAAGAAAAGGUUUUUGGAAUUGCCCAAAGUACAGACUCCAAAUGUUAAAUUCACUGCAUGACCAGACCUAUAAUUUGGACUGAACCUUGGUCGUGUUAAAUUGAAAGACCGGGUCAUUAUUUAGUACUGUAGUGGUCUAUUAUGUCAGAUGGAAGUUCAUAUUUGUAGGUUAGAUUUUCAAAUAUGUGGAUUGGAAUUUAGUAUUUUGCCACUUCUGGUGUUAUCAGACUAGUUUAAACCAGUGAAGAUCGAACUACAGUACAGGGCCACUGUCGAUACGAGAAUGUGUAUUUUGAAAGUAAAAAGCAGCAUAUUAAUUUCAUCAUUGGGUUAUGUUGUGAAAAUGUAAUACUAUUUGAAGAUGAAUAGAGCGGUAUUUCCUAAAAGGUAUUAGCGUUUAAGUACAGUAUUUGAGACCCUUUCCAAAUGGCAGACGUAGUGCAGAUUUUAUUCUAUUUUGAUUCGGUAUAAUAAAGGAUUUAAAUGGUAUAAAAAAUAUAAAUGGAAUAAUUUCAUUGGUUACAUAUAUUAUAUAUUCAAUAUGUACUCAACCCGUACACGUUUGACUUUGCUUGCACAGAAUAUAAUGAAACAUAGCUCUUUACGGGUCUUGAAGAAAUAAGAAAGAUGCUGGAGAGCAGUUUUUUGAAGAGACAAGUUGCUUGUAGUGUAACACUUAUUUGGUAGGAAACCAGAAACUCACUCUAAAGCUGUGGGAAGGAUCCGCCUCCCACUAACCGCGGUAGAGCUGGCAAGUAAUUCUUCCGAUGGCGUUCUCCAGCAACAGUUAAAAACCAAGAUAACUGCUGUAGAAUCUCCCAAUCGCUCUGAUGGGGUCGAGGUCACACUACAGCUUGCUCGGUCAAGUCGUAUAGGCUUCACGUUCGUGUAAAGAGCGUGUGCUAGAGAUAAAGUAAAAAGCAAGAACAUUAAUGUAGUUUAACCCUGGUGUAACACAAGACUUAGAAGGUAUAGUUUUGUUAAUAUCCAUAGACUAAUAAACUUUAGCAUUUUUGUCAAGAGAAAAAUCAAACUAUGGUUUAGAAUCACUAACAAAUAAUUGAAAAGCCAAAUACUUCAAGAUACACUUCUGGACUAUCAGUAUGUUUUCUUAACAAAUGGGCACAUAUUGGAACCUGUUAAACAUUGGCACGUUUGAAGUGACAGUGUACUGAUGACUGGGUAGCUGUAGAUAUCCAUGGAUAUUUUUUGGCAGGUGUGGGGUAUAGCAGAGGAACAGGUUAAUGAGCCCAGGUCAAAAUGAUGUCCAGAGGUUAAAAUUGGGAUUGGGCACUUUAAUUUUCAUAAUUGCUCUAUAAGAAAAGUCAUACACAAAAGUGUAAUGAGAACGUUAUAAAUGGAAGAAAAUAUAUUAAUGUAAAACAGUAGCUUAAAUUUAGGGGAUGAUAUAUUUGGGUUUUAACAGGCCAAUGGUAGGGAGACGAAAAGUGAGGUAAUCUUGAAGUCACAACAGAGAACCGGCUUCAGCUGGGAAGAGAAGAGCCCCUGUAGGUUACUGAAGGAGAAAGUGUGGUUUGUGGAAGAGGAAGAUUUGGUGACCCGAGUGGCUGAACAAGUAGAAGAAAUCGAUUUUAAGGGGUAGGGAUUAAAACAUGGAGAGAGGUGUGUCAAGGUAGAGUACAGAUAGGAGUGUGUGUGUGUCAAGGUAGAGUAGAGGAGAGAGGCAUGUCAAGGAAGAGUAGAUAGAGGUGUCAAGGUUGAGUAGACGAAGGGUCUAAGAUUUGUCCAAACUACAGAUUGCAACUCUUAAAUUUACUAUAUGAGCAGACUUAUAAUUUUACUCUAAUUUCGACUUCACAUUGGUCGUGUUAAAUGAAAGACUUCGGGUCAAUAUUUAGUACUGUAGUGGUGUGUCAAUGAUGGAAGUUCAUAUUAUUUCUAGGUAACACAUUCAAAUAUCUUGUUUGGAAUGUAUUAUUUCACUACUUCUGGUGUUAUCAGACUAUAUCAAGAUUAGUUUAAACCAGUGAAGAUCGAACUACAGUACAGGGUAUUCGUUUUUUGCCCAUUCUGGCUACGAGAAAGGGCAUUUUAAAAGAUUAGAAAGUAUAAACCAGCACAUUAAUCUCAUCAUUUGGGUGAGGUCGUAAUUACAUUUUAAGAUGAAUAUAGCGGUGUUUGCCAAGAGGUAAAAGCGUUUAAUAUCUUAAAGUAUAGUACGUAUUUCAGGACUAACUUGACAAAUAGCAGACGUACUUCAGAUUUUAUUCUACUCAAGGUUUUGAUUCCGUAAAAUCUAGGAAUUAAAUUAUUCCAUAAAACAUAAGUGGUAUACAAGUAGAACAAUUUUAUUAAACUCUUAUUGGUUACAUACAUUGUAUAUUCAAUAUGUACUCAACCCAAACAUAUUUGGGUUUACUUUCACAGAAUAUAAUACAACACAGCUCUUUACUGGGAAUACACCUGGACACAGAUUAUGACCCACAAAUGGGGUCUGGGAGGGAGUUGAAGAAAUAACAAAAAUGCUGGAAAGCAUCUUUUUGAAGAGACAAAUUGCUUGUAGUUUAACACUUACUAGGUAACAAGAAUAUUUUCACUCAAGUUGUGGAAAGAAUCCACCUCCCAGUAACCGGGGUAGGGUUCGAGUAGGCAAGAAAUUCUUCCGAUGGUGUUCUCCAGCAACAGUUAAAGAAACCAAGACAACUUUUGUAGAAUCUCUCGAUUGUUCUGAUGGGGUAGAGGUCACACUGCAGUUUCCUCGGUCAACUCGUAUAGGUCCCACGUUCGUCUAACGAGCGUGUUCUAGAGAUGAAAUAAAACGUAAGAUUAAUGUAAUUUUAUCCUGGUGGAAUGGUACAACACAAGACUUCCUUAAAAGGUUUAGUUUUGUUAAUAUCCAAAGACCAAUAAAAUUUACCAUUUUUGUCAAGUGAAAGUUCAAACUGAGGCUUCAUAUUCACAAACCAAUAAUUUCUAAGCUAAAUACUUCAAGAUUUACUUACAAUAUUGAGUAGAGUUUAACACUAUAGAUGUUGUAUGGUCGUCGCGCACCAGUGUUCUGUGUUCUCAGGCCGUCUACCGGGCAUUAUAUACAGGCGGUCCACAUUCCCUGACCAAUCACAAGCUGUUUGUUAGGGUAAGUUUUAGCCACUGGGAACAUACCUUUUUAUGACGUCAAGGUCGCACCAUGCGAAUGGUUGUAACGCCGGCAGGUUUGCCAAUCCGGAUGUGCAAAUGGCUGUUUGAUGACGAGUAAAUGAUUGAAAGUUUAUUGUGACAUAAAAGAAGUGUAUAACGUGAAAAAAAAUAUUAGAAAAGCGUAUUUAGAGGAGGUGUGAAAAUGUAUUCACUGCCUUACUUAUCUGUGUAGAAAUUGUGAAUGUAUGAAAUGUUUUACAAGAGUAAUAUUGGCCUCACUUGAAGUGUCAGACGAUUGUUAAGAGACAUAUACAUGAAAAUAGUAUUAUUGUUAUAUAAAAAAGUCCUAAAAUUGAAGACAAUAGCAUAAAAAGUACAUUGAUAAAGAGAGAAGAAGAAGAAUGAACCAUUGAGUUAUUAUUAACGUUUACUUGUAAUUAACUAAACAGCAGAAACACUAAAACUCUCCAAAGCUUUUAAAUCUUACAGGUGAGUAUUCAAAGAUACACAUGUGUUACAGGAACCGAACAUACACAUUAAAACAAAGUAGAGUGGUAAGUGUUGUUUGUACUCGGCAGAUGAAUGUAAUAUACUGUACUCGUAAACUUGCUCCGAGGAGAGUCAAUUACAUCGGGUGUGGUUAGAGAGGUGAAACUCGUACAAUUUGAUAAUGAUUUCAGGCCUCACACGUACAGUACAGCACCUUGGAGAGUAAAUGUGGUACCUGGUAAUAUAGUGUACAUUUAUUUCAAGGAAUUAUUAUAUAACAUUUAGUAUCAUGUGGAUUAGUACACGUAAGAUGGUGUUAGUAAAUACAUACGAGAAUGUUACCACGAUUUGAAGUGUGAUUUUUUAAUUGUUAUAAUUAAGUUAUAAAUAUAUACCUUUGACGGUAAUGUGUAAACAUUAUUCGGGUCGUGACUUUAUUAAAUUGACCGUUCGUAAUUGUCACCAAGGAAUGGAGAUGCGAGUGGUUGUAGGGUAUGUUGUUAUUUCCAUGUUGGAAGGAAACUUUAUUGACUACGAUACUGCCACUGUAGUGUGUGAGUUGCUCUCCUAACUUUUUGGUUCGUUUUCUUAUCACAAAUUGUGUGGUGUUUGUUGUUCGGUGUAAAUCCCCAAGAGUAGUUUAUGUGGCAGUUGGUGAUAAUCCCCUCGUUUGGUUGUGCCGGUGUUUACUGGAGAAGUUCGGGGUCCCGGGGAUUCGGAAAGCAGGACUCUGGCGGUUUUGAGCUGGAGAAAUUUGGACUAUAGUUUACGAAAUGGAGUUUGUUUUAAUAAUGUUGAAGAUUACACGAGAGUUUUCAAUGUAUCCUUGUACUGUGACGCCUAGGUGAAGAAUAAAAUGGUGAAAAUUGGAAGUUAUUCGAAUGAGCGGAUUCAGUGAGGAGUGAGCGACUAAUUUGACGGUUCAGUAGCGAGUUGGCGGGAAGGUAGGGUAUUUAAAGGCUGGACGAGCAAGGAUGAAUCAGUUACAAUCGGAUACUAGUGUCUGGUGGUAGUAUUAGCUACAGUACAAAGUGAAGAAGAAAAGAAAAGUGCUUAUAAAGUGGUGUUAAGACAUUUGUUCGUUCCGCAGUUAGUUGAACGGUUUUCUUAAACGUUUUUGUGAGUUCUUUAACACAAGUUGUAUGGUGUAUUUGGCUUGUGGUCUGUGAAACCUAUUUAAGGAUCCUUCUGUGUUUGUGAUUAAUUAGCGAGUUUGUGAAGGUGUUUAAGUUCAUGGAGUAGAGAAUAUUUUUGUAAAUACGUUAGUUUAAUUGAAAUAACGUUGAUGUUUCGUGGCAAGUGAUUUGAAAAUUUAAAGUGAAUUUUAUGAAAUUAGCUGAAUGUGUUGCGUUUUUGUAAGAAAGCUCAUUGAGAUUAAGUGACGGAAAGUGAAUUGACGAGAGCGUCAAGAUUGUAAGUCGAUGUAGUUACUUGGUUUUUGGAGAUUGAAAUAUCCUCUUGAGCUAAAGUUGUUUGGAUACGCACUUGAAAUCCGUGCAUAUUAUAAUAUUUGUUUAUUCGUGUAGACGGUUGUGAUUGACUGUCCAUAAGACGAAUAGAUUUUGUAUUACUGUACCUUGAAGUAGGACAGAUCAUAGUUAAAUGUUGAAAAUCGGUGAAUUGAAAAAGAUGCCGUAUUUAUGUGUUUGUGUGUUUUGAUGCCAUAAAUCGGAGAGGAAGUGAAGAAAAUACUUAUUCCGCCAGCGACCGGAGAUGAACGAGGGGAAAGGACUGCAGGUAAGUGACUAUAAAUAUUGAGAGUUUACUUAGUGAUGAAAAGAUAGGGAUUUGACGUGAAUAACCAUAUUUCGAGCUCGAGUUGAGUUAGUUAAUUCUUAAUAAGUGUAGUGUGGACUAGAAAAGCAAAUGGUGUGGUCUCGAUUACAAGUACUUGUUUACUAAUAUUUGAUUAGUUAAUGUAUUGUGAGGGAAGCGUUAGAACGUGGGUUAUUAGCGUGAAACGAGUUUGGAGUGUGGCUUGAUAACCGGUAUAUAAUCAUUGGAAUGGCCACGUGAUAGUAGUUAGGAAAAUAAAUAUUGUGACAAUGUAUAGGUUUUUGUGCGUUGUAGGAAGAGAGCGUAGUGUGUGGUGUGAAUUUUUGAUAAUUAAAAACAAAAAUAAUGGCUAUAAUUACGAGUGUAGACUAUAAAAGGGUGAAAUUAGUUUAAAAAGAAAUUUGUAUGUAAAAUAAGCGGCUGAAAGUCGUAGGUUUUGAAUGCACAGUCGGCCAAAGAUCCACCGACCUUAUUCUGGGUCUCGUGUUCGUAAUUUUACCUGUCAAUACUUUGUGAUGGAAGGCUGCAUGUAAAGGAAAUUGGGUGAUCUGUUUUUGGGCGUAUAACUGUCAGGAUAAGUAUUAAAGAAAGCAAAGGUAGUAUUUUUGUAAUAAAAGAUUGAUUAAGGCGUGAAGUUGAAAAAUGUUCGUAUGUGUGCGCAAUUAGUGAAGAAAAUUGUAUUAAUGACUAGUUUGUAUAAAAUGUAGUGUACGUGUAUUAAGAUUUUGUAGUAGUUUAUUUCAGAUUGUACGAACCGCAAGGAGGAAGCUGUAGAGGACUGGCGCAUGAGCGUUAAAUUGGAGCCAACUAGGUAGGGGAGAGGUUGAUUUUUGCAGAGAAGUGGUUGGAUUGACCGGAAGUUGUAGUUUAGGAAUAAGUAAGGCGAGGGAAAUUUGUGAGUAGGUGUUGUGUUUGUGCUGUUAUAUACUGGAGGCUAUAUAAUGGUACUACACUCUCGGUUGUGUGUUUUUAGGUUAGUAUGAAAUUGUCGUAGAUAUAGGGUAGGUGAGGUGGCCGUUUGGGUUAAGGUAACAUUGUUAGGCAGAUUAGAGUUUGAUUAAUUGUAUAUGCUUUGGUUUGAGUAGUUUUAAAUUGGCAGUUUGAAAUGUAAGUGAAAAUUUGCAGGUUGAGUCGUAACUACUGUUGGAUGAAAUGAAAUGUAAUUUGACAUUGGGUUUUGAGAAAGUGAUAAUUAGUGAGUUUUAUUGCAGGUGUAUGUAUGGAAGACUAAUGGCUUAUACUGUGGAAAAAAGAAGAGAACGUGGCAGACGGUUUGAGGUGGAGCCUAGCGCGUCCACACUUACGGUGACGACUGUGUGAAUACGGUUGUUGGAGGUGGAAGGAGCAGGUAUUAUUAUUUUGAGGUAGACUGAUGGGUUGGUGUCUGGCGGUGGAGGAACUUGGGCGAAUUGUGUCGGCUAGAGCCGAGUGGACGGACGCAGUAUGGCGGCGUUGGAAAUGGAAGGAGUGACGACUAGUUUGUGUGUAAUAGAUUGGAAGGGUGUGGGUACAAAGAUUUGGAGAUUGGAGCAAGAGGGGGUGCCGGCGGUAGAGCGGUACCGCUCUCGCCUCGCAAGUGAGAGUCACGGGUUCGAAUCCCAGGCCGGUGGAAAGUGGUUUGGACACACUUCCUAGACCCCUGUGUCCCUGUUGACCUAGCAGUAAAUUAGGUACCUGUUGUAAAUCGAAAGUUGCGAAUUCGUAUUCAGGGAAAAGUUGUUGGAGCUUGCAGUAAGUUGGCAAGAAAAUGUUUGGGGUUGUAUGCCCUCGACCCAAAAUGUGACGGCCCUUGAGGUUUGUGGUCACUUAACUAAUGAGACAUGAAGGCAAGCAUGAAGUUGGGAUGCUGUGUAGUUGGGCGGUUCUACUACCUGUAUGGAGCUGGGCACUAGACUGUGUUGGCUAAGCAAGUGGACUUAUGGUAGCCAUCCAGAGGUGGGGGAGAAGCCUUUGAUGUUUGAAAGGAGCCAAGUGUUG